GACGAACGCUGGCGGCGUGCUUAACACAUGCAAGUCGAACGGUGAAGGGGUCUGCUUUUGUGGGCCCUGGAUGAGUGGCGAACGGGUGAGUAACACGUGAGUAACCUGCCCCCUUCUUCUGGAUAACCGCAUGAAAGUGUGGCUAAUACGGGAUAUUCUGGGUCUGUCGCAUGAUGGGUCUGGGAAAGAUUGCGCCUUUGGGUGUUUUUGGUGGGGGAUGGGCUCGCGGCCUAUCAGCUUGUUGGUGGGGUGAUGGCCUACCAAGGCGGUGACGGGUAGCCGGCCUGAGAGGGUGGACGGUCACACUGGGACUGAGACAAGGCCCAGACUCAUACGGGAGGCAGCAGUGGGGAAUAUUGCAGAAUGGGCGCAAGCCUGAUGCAGCGACGCCGCGUGAGGGAUGGAGGCCUUCGGGUUGUAAACCUCUUUCGCCAGUGAAGCAGGCCUGCUCCUUGUGGGUGGGUUGACGGUAGCUGGAUAAGAAGCGCCGGCUAACUACGUG
RNAcentral lists this ribosomal RNA (502 nucleotides) under uncultured bacterium. Its description in RNAcentral is "partial 16S ribosomal RNA". It matches the Rfam family "Bacterial small subunit ribosomal RNA", at positions 28 to 507 of the family's 1533-position model. The record is from RNAcentral.